RNAcentral lists this transfer RNA (101 nucleotides) under Didymella heteroderae. RNAcentral describes it as "tRNA-Glu". The record is from RNAcentral. Lineage: Eukaryota; Fungi; Ascomycota; Dothideomycetes; Pleosporales; Didymellaceae.
UCCAUCAUCAGCAACUCCAACUAACAAUUCCAAGUGGCUAGGAUACAUCGCUCUCAUUAGCAAGCGCCGAUGUGGCCGGGGUUCGAUUCCCCGUGACGGAA